Molecule: unclassified non-coding RNA, 633 nt
Filed under: Melitaea cinxia (Glanville fritillary)
Lineage: Eukaryota; Metazoa; Arthropoda; Insecta; Lepidoptera; Nymphalidae
Description: misc RNA ENSMCXG00005004710.1
Source: RNAcentral
CCAAACAAAAAUUUAUUUACAAAAUCGAAUUAUUGAACCAAUGAUUGAUUUCAGUAGGCAGUUAAGCCCUUUCACUACUUCCUACCUUACAUCUUCAAACUGUAACUUAUAUAAUGUUACUGUAACUUUGUUUUGGUGCGUAAUUGCUCUUUUCUUUUGCUACGCAUUGUCGUUUUGCGUAUGGGGCCAUUGGUAUGGAUUAGCCACGACCAAGGUUCAAGGUGUGAAUUGUUGGUGUCCUUGGCGAGGCGGUCACGAGCGGUCCCGGAUGCUUCUGGAGUGACCACGUGGCGAGACAUUUUGCUCAACGUUCCCGGUUCUGUUGUUGCCGAACCUGUGGCGACGCUUGUUUACGACGCCUGAAAUCGUGGGGAGCUGCGUGAGCCUAACCACGUGGUGCAAGGCGGUUCUACGGGCGAUGCUACGUGGUUCUUCGGAGCAUGAUCGGCUGAGUGACCUUUUUGACCUCCAAACAUGUGCCAGGAAUAAGUCGAACCUUAGAUAGCUAUGCUAUAGUUUUUUUUUUUAUUACGAGUUUUUAUGUACAUAAUUUUUUUUAUUUUAAUAUUAAAAAAUUGUCAUCUUUUAUUAAACUUGGCAAUAAAUUAAUUUUAAUCUGUUAUCUUUUUAAUA